AUGGGAAGCCUGCACGAGAAUCCCCAGCAUGGCUUCGGCGGCCUGCUGAGCGGCCUGCAGGAGGCGUACGAGAGCGGCCGGACCAAGGACCUCGCCUGGAGGCGGGCGCAGCUCAAGGGGCUCCUCCGGCUCCUGGCGGAGGAGGAGGAGGACAUCUUCGACGCGCUCCACGACGACCUCGGCAAGCACCGCGCCGAAUCCUACAGGGACGAGGCCCAGGCGCCGCUGGUUUCUUUCCCGGCGACCGCGCUGGUGGUGCCCGAGCCGCUCGGCGUCGUGCUCGUCUUCUCCUGCUGGAAUUUGCCACUAGGUUUGGCUUUGGAGCCAAUCUCUGGCGCACUAGCAGCUGGCAAUGUUGUGGUUGUAAAGCCCUCCGAGCUUGCUCCGUCCACCGCUGCAUUCCUUGCUGCCAAUAUAGCAAGGUACCUCGAUCCUAAGGCUGUGAAGGUCAUCUUAGGUGGACCGGAAGUUGGAGAACAACUCAUGGAACACAGAUGGGACAAAGUUCUUUUCACCGGAAGCGCCAAUGUAGGGCGUCUUAUUUUGACGAAAGCAGCAAAGCACUUGACCCCUGUUGCGCUUGAACUUGGGUCGAAAUGUCCGUGCAUUGUUGAUCAGCUCGAUAGUAAGAGAGAUAGGCAGCGGGAGCGAAAUGGUAAGUAUGUGCCGGCCAAGCAUGUGUUGCCAUUUGACUACAUCCUGGUAGAGGAGAAAUUUGCUCCUAUUCUGAUUGAGCUACUGAAAUCAACGGUCAAGAGAUUUACCACUACACCAGAGUGCAUGGCCAGGAUCUUGAACGCAAAGCACUUCCGGAGGUUAAGCAACUUUUUGGAUGAUGAUAGGGUGGCAUGUUCAGUGGUGCAUGGGGGAUCAGUAAACGAAAAGACCUUGACAAUUGAACCCACCAUACUGUUAAACCCUCCACUCGAUUCUGACAUCAUGACUGAGGAGAUAUUCGGCCCACUGCUCCCUAUCAUCACGGUAAAGAUCGAAGAUACUAUUAAGUUUGUCACAUCAAUGCCAAAACCAUUGGCAAUCUAUGCUUUCACCAAAAACGAGAAGCUAAAACACCGGAUUAUAGAUGAAACAUCAUCUGGAAGUAUCACAUUCAACGACGCAAUUGUGCAGUACGCAGUAGAAGGCCUCCCGUUCGGUGGCGUUGGGCAAAGCGGGUUUGGACAGUACCAUGGCAAAUACAGCUUUGAGCUUUUCAGUAACAAAAAGGCAGUGUUCAAGAGAAGCUUCCUAAUCGAGUUCAUGUUCAGAUACCCGCCAUGGGACGACAGUAAAAUCAGGAUGUUGAGACAUGUUUUCAACACGAACUACAUACUUCUACUCCUUGGACUGCUCGGCCUGAGGAGAUGA
RNAcentral lists this ribosomal RNA (1365 nucleotides) under Triticum aestivum (bread wheat). RNAcentral's name for it is "partial small subunit ribosomal RNA". The record is from RNAcentral. Lineage: Eukaryota; Viridiplantae; Streptophyta; Magnoliopsida; Poales; Poaceae.